Molecule: ribosomal RNA, 501 nt
Filed under: uncultured bacterium
Lineage: Bacteria
Description: partial 16S ribosomal RNA
Rfam family: Bacterial small subunit ribosomal RNA
Source: RNAcentral
AUUGAACGCUGGCGGCAGGCUUAACACAUGCAAGUCGAGCGGGGGAAGGUAGCUUGCUACCGGACCUAGCGGCGGACGGGUGAGUAAUGCUUAGGAAUCUGCCUAUUAGUGGGGGACAACAUCUCGAAAGGGAUGCUAAUACCGCAUGCGUCCUACGGGAGAAAGCAGGGGAUCUUCGGAACUUGCGCUAAUAGAUGAGCCUAGGUCGGAUUAGCUAGUUGGUGGGGUAAAGGCCUACCAAGGCGACGAUCUGUAGCGGGUCUGAGAGGAUGAUCCGCCACACUGGGACUGAGACACGGCCCAGACUCCUACGGGAGGCAGCAGUGGGGAAUAUUGGACAAUGGGGGGAACCCUGAUCCAGCCAUGCCGCGUGUGUGAAGAAGGCCUUAUGGUUGUAAAGCACUUUAAGCGAGGAGGAGGCUACUCUAGUUAAUACCUAGGGAUAGUGGACGUUACUCGCAGAAUAAGCACCGGCUAACUCUGUGCCAGCCGCCGCCGUAA